Molecule: ribosomal RNA, 731 nt
Filed under: Anthemiphyllia dentata
Lineage: Eukaryota; Metazoa; Cnidaria; Anthozoa; Scleractinia; Anthemiphylliidae
Description: eukaryotic LSU rRNA
Rfam family: Eukaryotic large subunit ribosomal RNA
Source: RNAcentral
CUAACAAGGAUUCCCCCAGUAACGGCGAGUGAAGCGGGAAGAGCUCAAAUUUGAAAUCUCCGGCGCUUGCGUCGGCGAGUUGUAGUUGCGAGAAGCACUUUCUAGGUGGAUCGGUCGCGCCUAAGUUGCUUGGAACGGCAGGUCGCAGAGGGUGACAACCCCGUCUGUGGCGCGAGCGGCCGCCGACGAUGUGCUUUCGAAGAGUCGGGUUGUUUGGGAAUGCAGCCCAAAACGGGUGGUAAACUCCAUCUAAAGCUAAAUAUUGGCGCGAGACCGAUAGCGAACAAGUACCGUGAGGGAAAGAUGAAAAGAACUUUGAAAAGAGAGUUAAAAAGUACGUGAAACCGUCGGAAGGGAAACGAAUGGACUCAGCAAUGCGCCGUUUGAGAUUCAGCCGGUCGGCUCCGUCGGUGGGGGGUCUUGCGGAUCCGAACGGACCGCGGCCCCCGACCCGCGGCGCCGGGCCGUCGCACUUCUCUUGGGCGCGCGUCAACGUCGGUUGGGACUGGGUCUGAAAGGUGCCGGGAAGGUAGGUUCGGCAGCCCGGUUCUCCUCAUGGCUCGGGCCCGACCGAGGAGUUUCGCAGCGCAUGCCUCAUGUGGCUAGGGCGCCGACCUCUCCGGCCGGUAGUCGAAUGCGGUGGACUGCUUGCAGUGUUCCGCGACCGCUGCCGGUCGUUGGGUCGGUGGUCUCGUAAUAUGCGCUUGGGACGUUGGCGGUCAUAUGGGUCC